Peromyscus maniculatus bairdii (prairie deer mouse) is the source of this 1916-nucleotide long non-coding RNA. RefSeq lists it as uncharacterized. Lineage: Eukaryota; Metazoa; Chordata; Mammalia; Rodentia; Cricetidae. The record is from RefSeq and is a predicted model, not a curated record.
AUCACAUGUACACAGGCUCUGAGGGCACACGGGUGUGCACCGCCCUGGCUCUAUGCUGCUCUGGGACACUGUCUCCCAGGGCCUGAGACCUCACAGGCGGUUGGGGAAACAGAGCUGUGAAUAUCCCCACGGUGCUCCUGUCUCAAGCAGAGCCGUGAUGGAAGUUUCCAUGGCAUAGACUAGAAUCCUGCAGCUUCUGACAUCUCCCAAGGAUUGCUCAGGGCACACCGAAGUUGGCAGCCAUCGAUUUCAAAUGACAGUUGAAGCCAGAUCCAGGGCUGAUGAUGCCUCAGCCGGCUGGUAGGUAGCUGUUUCCAGCCAGAGCGGCCCCUGGACUCCAGACUCCAGCACCCAAGUGUCUGACUAUAAUGCGAUGUUCCUGAAAGUGAUGCCCACCCAGGACGUGCCUGGCACCCUUGCUGUGCAUGUUCCACCUCACAAAACCUGCCUGGGCCAAAGGCAGCUGGCACUGCGAUGUCAGCAGCUGCAGACUGCAGGACAACCCUAGGUCAGGCAUGCAGCAGGUGUGGCGGUACCGUGAACAGGGGAGACUUACCAGGAGGCAGCUCCAGACAGAACAUGGUCCACAGAAGAGGAUCUGCAAUGCAGACUCCGUCCCUGAGGGAGGUCCGAGGGAACCAAUGUUUGCAUACAGCUCCACGAGUGCAGGCAUGGAGACGCUGACGGCUUUGUGAAAUGGCUUCUGAGGGACCCUGGUCGACCUGGGGCUGGAGCUGGGCCUUGACUCUCAACCUCCGAGCAGCUCUGAGUUAUCAUUGUCCCCAUUAUUACAUAACGAGUGAGAACGCUGCAGAGCCAGCCCAGCUCCUCAGGGUGGCUUUGGCCUUCACUGGCGACCCAACAAAGGAAUGGUGGCUGCUUACCUGGGGUGGAAAGCCUGCUUCACAGUGCGGUUCUUCCCAGAAAGCCAGCCCCGCCCUACAGCCGGCUUUGGUCUCCUUAUCCCAGGGCUCUUCCCUGACUGCUUCAGCUUGCAAACACCCUUUCUCUUUCAUAAAGGCUCUCCUGGCGUUUCUGUCUAACAACAUCCCUCUGCCCUUUGUGUUGCACUGGCCCGUGUCUUUUCCUCAUCUGCAUCACUGGAUCAGACAGAGCAGGAACUCACAUCUGCAUCCACUGCUAGAUUCCCUCCUCUUGAUCAGUGCCUGCUGCCCAACCCAGCGCUCAGUAAACAGCUGUAGAGAGACCAGCUGAUCUAUGUGCCAGAGGACAGGGCAGCCUGGGCAACAGCCGUAAGGGUUAAAUGUGGCAUUAGCAAAGGGUGACAGCAGGACCCCGGAGGCCUGGGGUUGAAGGCACCUGGCCAGGCAAGCCGUGCUUAAGUCUCACUGUUUCACCGUGUUCAUUUGUGGCCAAAGAAGGGUCAUCUGAGCCUCCGGGGAUCGUAGUGACUGGGCCAGGACAAGAGCCACAGCAAGGGCCGCCCCUCGAUGGGCUGGUAUCCCUACGCGGGCAGCAUGAGGACAGGAACAGACGGGACAGGACCGCAGUCCUUAUCUGUGUCUCCUCACUUGGUGUUCUCAUUAUUACACGAUGCAGUUAGCUUCCACAUAUAAAAAGGCUGGGCACAAAACUACUGGGCCCCGUGGAGAAAUAGUACCAAGAGUGUUCUUUUAUUCCCUCCCUUCUGAGCUUCCCACAGAAACGUCGUGGACCCUUUGUAUUUCAGAAAUGCUGCUUCUGCCUCUAAAAAGAGCUGACAGUCAUGCUCUAUCUAACACAUGGGCCACCUCCUCUGCCCCCCUCCCAGCCUGGAGCCGCCAUGCAGCCUUUCAUAAUGAACUACUGUCUGUCAUUUUACCACUUGCCUAGGGUCUUCGCGAGGGCUGCUGCCAUGCCGCUUUUGCAGAGUGAUCUAUAGAGAGGUGGUAUCUUUACUUUAGAUGCUUAUCUUA